RNAcentral lists this ribosomal RNA (253 nucleotides) under uncultured bacterium. RNAcentral's name for it is "partial 16S ribosomal RNA". It matches the Rfam family "Bacterial small subunit ribosomal RNA", at positions 524 to 776 of the family's 1533-position model. The record is from RNAcentral.
UACGAAGGGGGCUAGCGUUGUUCGGAAUUACUGGGCGUAAAGGGCGCGUAGGCGGUGUGUCAAGUCAGGCGUGAAAGCCCCGGGCUCAACCUGGGAACAGCGCUUGAGACUGGCACGCUCGAGUUCGGGAGAGGAUGGUGGAAUUCCCAGUGUAGAUGUGAAAUUCGUAGAUAUUGGGAAGAACACCGAUGGCGAAGGCAGCCAUCUGGACCGACACUGACGCUGAGGCGCGAAAGCGUGGGGAGCAAACAGG